This is a non-coding RNA of Dendroctonus ponderosae (mountain pine beetle), 97 nucleotides long. The record is from Rfam. NCBI's taxonomy places the organism in Eukaryota, Metazoa, Arthropoda, Insecta, Coleoptera, Curculionidae.
AGUUAACUGAGUAUAUGGGGAUGAAUAUCUGACAUUCAACGACAAGAAUGCGAGGAAAAAAAAAUGGGGGAAAAAAUCCCCCAUUUCUCCACUAAAC